UACGGAGGGUGCAAGCGUUGUCCGGAUUUAUUGGGUUUAAAGGGUGCGUAGGCGGCCCGGUAAGUCAGUGGUGAAAGCCUCCAGCUCAACUGGAGAACUGCCAUUGAUACUGCCGGGCUUGAGUACAGACGAGGUUGGCGGAAUUGAUUGUGUAGCGGUGAAAUGCAUAGAUAUGUCACAGAACACCAAUUGCGAAGGCAGCUUACUAAGGUGCAAUUGACGCUGAGGCACGAAAGCGUGGGGAUCAAACAGG
This 253-nucleotide ribosomal RNA is filed under the name uncultured bacterium. RNAcentral's name for it is "partial 16S ribosomal RNA". It matches the Rfam family "Bacterial small subunit ribosomal RNA", at positions 524 to 776 of the family's 1533-position model. The record is from RNAcentral.